CCUACGGGCGGCAGCAGUGGGGAAUAUUGGACAAUGGGCGAAAGCCUGAUCCAGCAAUGCCGCGUGUGUGAAGAAGGUCUUCGGAUUGUAAAGCACUUUCGACGGGGACGAUGAUAACGGUACCCGUAGAAGAAGCCCCGGCUAACUUCGUGCCAGCAGCCGCGGUAAUACGAAGGGGGCUAGCGUUGCUCGGAAUGACUGGGCGUAAAGGGCGCGUAGGCGGUUUAUGCAGUCAGAUGUGAAAUCCCCGGGCUUAACCUGGGAACUGCAUUUGAGACGCAUAGACUAGAGGUCGAGAGAGGGUUGUGGAAUUCCCAGUGUAGAGGUGAAAUUCGUAGAUAUUGGGAAGAACACCGGUGGCGAAGGCGGCAACCUGGCUCAAUACUGACGCUGAGGCGCGAAAGCGUGGGGAGCAAACAGGAUUAGAUACCCCCGUAGUC
RNAcentral lists this ribosomal RNA (440 nucleotides) under uncultured bacterium. RNAcentral's name for it is "bacterial SSU rRNA". It matches the Rfam family "Bacterial small subunit ribosomal RNA", at positions 338 to 795 of the family's 1533-position model. The record is from RNAcentral.